This is a long non-coding RNA of Zonotrichia albicollis (white-throated sparrow), 1770 nucleotides long. NCBI's taxonomy places the organism in Eukaryota, Metazoa, Chordata, Aves, Passeriformes, Passerellidae. The record is from Ensembl.
AAUAACAACAAUUCUUUCUGCUAAGUCUCAAUCAAUAUCACUGCUGUAGCAUUGCAGAAGAUGGAAAACUCAGGCUCACAAACUCCAGGAUAUUUGGGAUCUGCUCCAGCUCCUGUUAAGACAGCUCAGAAGCCAAGAGACAGCAUGGAAAAGGACAGAUCAUGGAAAACACCCAAAGACCUCUUCACAUGUGUUUGAGCUCUUGCACAGUCAACAUUUUAUUGGCUUCAAAUUGGGAUAGCAUCCCAGGAGGUUAUCACUGGAUGAAAAAGCAAUCUCAGACUGUGAAGGUAGGGAGGUUCUCUGUUCUCUCAGGAAAGACAAAGCAUGGCUAAUGUUGGAAGAUGGUGAGAGUACUUUUUGUUCAGACACUGGAACUUCUCUGCAGGGCCACUCUGGGCUGUGAACAUGCCUUUGUGGAGAGUCCUUCCAGCCAGGAAUACAGCAAAAUGUGGUGGAGAGACCAUAUUCCACCGUACAAGGAAUCCUGCUGGAAAGCCACAGCAUCUGAAAUCAGGAGACUUUUCCAAAAAAAAGCUUUUUGCAACUGUCAUGUCUUUGGCCCAUCUGCUUUGCCCAUCGUGAUAAGCAAUUUAUCCAUGAUCUUGCCUUACUCAUAUCCCUGGAAAAAAUUGCUGCUCUGUGCAGAGAGAUCAGUUUCUCUUUCAAGUUUCAGCAUGAAGUGCAAGGCUGUAAGCAGCAAUAUUGGGUACUCUGACUCAUUCCCUUGGAAGGCUAUUUUUAUGAUUGUUCAUGGAACUAUAUCUUAAAACUCCUGGGCCACGUUCUUAAAUCACUUUCACAGCUUUCUGCCGAGCCGUCCCAGCGCAGCGGUUCUCUCCUCUGAGGUUACAGCCUCUCCAAGGGCUGGAACUGCCCUCCCUCUGCAGCCUGGGAACCCAAAAUGUUGGCUGAGGACCUCCUUCCUUCUCCUCACCUCGGUAAGUGGCUACAAGUCAGUGCCGUUUAAAAUUUAAUCAGUCUCGUCAUAACAGGACACAGUUCUUGGAUUUUAACCCAUCUUCUACACAAACCACUAAAUUCAGCCACACUAACUGCCUUCUGACAGAACCUUUAUCUCAAGAACCUCUUAAUGAGCUCUCAUUAGCACAAAUUGGCCCUGAAUAUCUCACCACUUCCUAUCUCCUGCUUUCUCUGCAAUCCAUUAGCAUCUGUUAGCAGCCUCGUUUGAACAAUUAAACUUUACGGUUUCUAGAAACACACAAGAAACACCAGGUUCUACUGUUAGACCUGUGACUUUGAGAGACCUGGGAAGGGAUUCACACGGCCCAGCUUAACAGAGCCCAAAUUCUACCUGCACUUCAUUAUUCUCAGAGAAAGAUUUAACAUAAGUUGUUGAUGUCACUGGUGACUCUGCCAGUCUCUGGAUCACUCUCUUGGAGGUCCCCUGGAAAAGCACAAAAACUCAAUGUCUGGUGUAAAACAGGCAGAAUCUUCAUCCUUUCCUCACAGCCCAGGGUUACGUUUCUUUGGCUGAUCUCUGCACACAACUUUGCCUUCUCCUCAGAGCUGAUUUGCCACAGCUUUUUGUUGUCCUUGUUUAUGUCCACCUUGAAUGGCUCAAACUGCCCUAAUCAGCUGGAUUUUCACAGUCAUGAGAUAACAAAUUCUUAUUAACUGUGUUUCAACCACCAGCAGGCAAAGUCAAGCUCUAAGCCAUUACAAUGGGUCCUGAAAGUGUGCUCGUGGAUUAAAGGCUUGAGGGGCCCUGGAAGAUGCUGAUCCCUGGCAGAGGAUAUGGACUCCAUC